CCAUCUAAUUCUAAAUUCAAAGCAAAACAAUUCACUGUUACUUCUUUAAACACUCCUCCUCCUCCUCCAUUGUUAAAUAAUAAUAAUCAUCCCGACAGAACCAACCAACAUACCAAUUCCUCCGUCAAAUCGCAUAGUUCUUUACCUGUUAAAAUACGAUCCACUUACUUACGCAUACGUAUAAACAUACGGUAUCUCUCUCACCCUGGACAUGGAGAGCAGUAUACCGUUAUCGACAAAACCAGAGCGGCGAUGGAGAUCGAAGCCGUUACAGACCUCUAAACCUUCUCUUUUCCUAGCUUUCUUCUCUUGCUUCGCUUGGCUCUACGUUGCUGGCCGGUUAUGGCAAGACGCAGAGAACAGAACAUUACUUUCUAAUCUUCUACAGAGAAAUGUAGCUCAGGGAUCGAAGUUGCUUACAGUCGAAGAUAAGCUAGUUGUGCUAGGAUGCAAGGAUUUGGAGAGGAGGAUAGUGGAGGCAGAAAUGGAAUUGACGUUGGCUAAGAGUCAAGGGUACAUAAAAAGUCGGCUGUCACAAAAUGAGUCUUCGUCGGGUAAAAAGUUUCUUGCAGUCAUUGGUGUAUAUACUGGAUUUGGUAGUCACUUGAAGCGGAAGGUGUUUAGAGGGUCUUGGAUGCCAAGAGGUGAUGCCUUAAAAAAGCUUGAGGAAAGAGGAGUAGUAAUCCGUUUUGUGAUUGGUCGCAGUGCUAAUCGAGGGGAUAGCUUAGAUCGAAAUAUCAAUGGUGAAAAUCGUUCAACAAAGGAUUUCUUGAUUCUUGAAGGUCAUGAGGAGGCUCAAGAAGAAUUGCCCAAGAAAGUGAAGUCCUUCUUUAGCACUGCUGUGCAAACAUGGGAUGCGGAAUUUUAUGUAAAAGCUGAUAACAAUAUUAACCUUGAUCUUGAGGGAUUAAUUGAACUUCUUGAACAUCGUCGCAGUCAAGCUAGUGCUUACAUUGGCUGUAUGAAAUCUGGAGAAGUUAUAACUGAAGAGGGAAGCCCAUGGUAUGAACCUGAAUGGUGGAAAUUUGGAGAUGAAAAAUCGUACUUCCAACAUGCGGCUGGUUCACUUCUUAUACUCUCCAAAAAAUUAGCUCGGUAUAUUGACAUAAACAGCGCAUCUCUAAAGACUUAUGCUCAUGACGAUACAUCAGUGGGAUCCUGGAUGAUGGGUCUCCAAGCAACCUAUAUAGAUGACAAUCGUCUUUGCUGCAGUAGCAUUAAACAAGACAAGGUUUGUUCCCAGGCUUGAUUAGGCUUCCAUACAGGUUAAACUUGCUUUUACAGUUGUUUAUCGGCACAUUCAGCGACACAUGCUGAGCUCCCAUGUUCACCAAGACCUACAUAGCAUUCACCGGAUAAUUCUUUUUAGGUGCAGGGAUUAGCCACAUUCUUUUAGGAUUAACACAAGCAAAGUGCAUAUCAGCGCCGCAGUUUGUGAACGCAUCAUUUUUUUCUACUUAUAGAUGAUUGUGCUGUAUUCCAUCCCCUCCAAGAGAUUCCUUCGUAGUUAACGAGCAAAUGGUUUAGUUGAACAGCGACACUGAACUAAGAAUUCCAUGUACCCAUAUCUGUACAAGAAAAAUAAAUGAUGAUAUGCGGCAUGUUUACUUCAUAUACACAAAUGAAAACAAACCAAGCAUCCUGACCUUGAAGCAGAAUAUCUGAUUGACCAUUG
RNA transcript from Populus trichocarpa (black cottonwood), 1675 nucleotides. It is a transcript of the gene named hydroxyproline O-galactosyltransferase HPGT2, with no coding region annotated. The transcript is spliced from 13 exons. NCBI's taxonomy places the organism in Eukaryota, Viridiplantae, Streptophyta, Magnoliopsida, Malpighiales, Salicaceae. The record is from RefSeq and is a predicted model, not a curated record.